CCUACGGGUGACAGCAGUGAGGAAUAUUGGUCAAUGGCCGUAAGGCUGAACCAGCCAAGUCGCGUGAAGGAAGACUGAUCUAUGGUUUGUAAACUUCUUUUAUAGGGGAAUAAAGUUAUCCACGUGUGGAUUUUUGUAUGUACCCUAUGAAUAAGCAUCGGCUAACUCCGUGCCAGCAGCCGCGGUAAUACGGAGGAUCCGAGCGUUAUCCGGAUUUAUUGGGUUUAAAGGGUGCGUAGGUGGAUUUUUAAGUCAGUUGUGAAAGUUUGAGGCUCAACCGUAAAAUUGCAGUUGAAACUGGAAGUCGGGAGGAUAGUAGAGGUGGGAGGAAGUCGUGGGGUAGCGGUGAAAUGCUUAGAUAUCACGAAGAACGCAGAUUGGGAGGGCAGCUCACUGGACUGCAACUGACACGGAGGCUCGAAAGUGUGGGUAUAAAACAGGAUUAGAUACCAGGGUAGUC
RNAcentral lists this ribosomal RNA (460 nucleotides) under uncultured bacterium. Its description in RNAcentral is "partial 16S ribosomal RNA". It matches the Rfam family "Bacterial small subunit ribosomal RNA", at positions 338 to 795 of the family's 1533-position model. The record is from RNAcentral.